This 484-nucleotide ribosomal RNA is filed under the name uncultured bacterium. RNAcentral describes it as "partial 16S ribosomal RNA". It matches the Rfam family "Bacterial small subunit ribosomal RNA", at positions 30 to 507 of the family's 1533-position model. The record is from RNAcentral.
AUUGAACGCUAGCGGGAUGCUUUACACAUGCAAGUCGAACGGCAGCGCGGACUUCGGUCUGGCGGCGAGUGGCGAACGGGUGAGUAAUGUAUCGGAACGUGCCCAUUAGCGGGGGCUUACUACGCGAAAGCGUAGCUCAUACCGCAUACGCCCUUCGGGGGAAAGCAGGGGAUCGUAAGACCUUGCACUCUUGGACCGGCCGAUAUCGGAUUAGCUAGUUGGUGAGGUAACGGCUCACCAAGGCGACGAUCCGUAGCUGGUUUGAGGGGACGACCAGCCACACUGGGACUGAGACACGGCCCAGACUCCUACGGGAGGCAGCAGUGGGGAAUGUUGGACAAUGGGGGCAAGCCUGAUCCAGCCAUCCCGCGUGGGCGAUGAAGGCCUUCGGGUUGUAAAGCACUUUUGGCAGGAAAGAAACGUAGCGGGCUAAUACCCCGUGGAACUGACGGUACCUGCAGAAUAAGCACCGGCUAACUACGUG